This 465-nucleotide ribosomal RNA is filed under the name uncultured bacterium. RNAcentral describes it as "partial 16S ribosomal RNA". It matches the Rfam family "Bacterial small subunit ribosomal RNA", at positions 338 to 795 of the family's 1533-position model. The record is from RNAcentral.
CCUACGGGAGGCUGUAGUGGGGAAUAUUGCGCAAUGGGCGAAAGCCUGACGCAGCGACGCCGCGUGAGGGAUGAAGGUCUUCGGAUCGUAAACCUCUGUCAGCAGGGAAGAACGGUCACUGUGCUAAUCAGCAGUGAAUUGACGGUACCUGCAAAGGAAGCACCGGCUAACUCCGUGCCAGCAGCCGCGGUAAUAGGGAGGGUGCGAGCGUUAAUCGGAAUUACUGGGCGUAAAGCGCUCGUAGGCGGUAUGUCAAGUCAAGGGUGAAAUCCCCGCGCUCAACGUGGGAACUGCCUUUGAAACUGGCAAACUGGGGUGUGUGAGAGGAUAGUGGAAUUCCAGGUGUAGGAGUGAAAUCCGUAGAUAUCUGGAGGAACAUCAGUGGCGAAGGCGACUAUCUGGCACAUAACUGACGCUGAGGAGCGAAAGCGUGGGUAGCAAACAGGAUUAGAUACCCGAGUAGUC